Amborella trichopoda is the source of this 1947-nucleotide non-coding RNA. The record is from RefSeq and is a predicted model, not a curated record. Lineage: Eukaryota; Viridiplantae; Streptophyta; Magnoliopsida; Amborellales; Amborellaceae.
AUUUUAAAUCUAAUUUAUUUUUAUUUUAAUUAUAAAAUUUUGAAUCUAAAAAAUUAUUAAAAUUAAAUAAAAUCUUGCAAAUAGACGGUAUGAGUAACAUGUUGCACUAUUUUUAUGACUUCUAAAAUCUUAACUUUUAUUUUCAUCUAUCAAAAAAAACCAUCAUUUUCAUUAUUGUCGGCCGGAUGCUUUUUUCUAACAAAAUAACCUUUACAAUAAUCGCAUUUCAGUGAAAUUAUUAAAAUACUUAAAUUACUGUAAUAAUCGGCCAAGUAAAGGAAGCAAAGUCUGAAAUUAUUAAGAUAAAUAAUCGGCCAAGUCGAGAGGGAAGCAGAGUCUGAAUCGUGGCAGAGUAUGAAUCGUGCGGUUUAUAUCGAAAAACAAGGCAAAAGAAGAAGAGAUUUAUCCUGAAUAUCUCACUCUACUUUCUACCCUCUCUCUGAGUCUAUUCCACUUUGUCGUUUUUUCCUUAUCUUCCCCUUGUUGCUGGACAAGAGUUACAGCUUCUCGGGUUCAAGACCAAAUCGGAGAAGUUCCAGGAAGAUUCAAUUUCCGACCAAAAAGGUGCCGGAAAGCCAAGAUCUGGCAGCUCCCAAAAACCGUCAAAUAGUCCAGAGAAGAAGUGAGCGAAGAUUAGCCCCAAAGCAAGCAUCCGGGCCAGCAUUUGGCCAGAAAGGUAGGCUUCUGGUGAUGAUUUGAUCAGAAAGUGCGGUUUUCAGUCAGAAAUUGGCAGAAAAGUGAGCAUCCAGCAAGGAUUUGGCUGUGGAUUCCGGCUAGAAAUUCGCCGGAAAGUGAGAAUUCCAGAGAGAAGUUGGCCGGAAUUGAUUGAUAGGAAGGAAAUGAAGAUUCAGUGUGAUGUUUGCGAGAAGGCGAAGGCGGCGGUGCUCUGCUGCGCGGAUGAGGCCGCUAUGUGCUGGAGCUGCGACGAGACCGUGCAUGCCGCCAACAAACUUCCAUUGCUCCUCAAUUCAUCGCACCAUGCCAGUCCUGAACCUGACAUUUGCGAGCCAUCAAUGGCGAGAAUCAAGACUAGAGCAAGCUGGAACUUGCCUUUAAAUGGCUUGAGCUUUUUCUGUUUUUUGGGACCCAACAGAGAGCUCUCCCCACGUUCUCCUUCAGAGAUCCAAAGCCUCUCAAUUGAAACAACCCGUUACUUCUUCUCAGCCGGAAGUAGCAGAAACUCGCCGGAAUUUUGAACCCACCUCUUUUCCUGGAGGAGGCCAUAAUGGCAAGAGUUUCAGAGGAGGUGGGUUUCCGGCAAGUUGGGGGUGAAGCUCACAAAACAAUUUGCUUUUCUCGACAUUCUUUCUCUCUAGACAGUGGAAUGAGGAUUAGAGCAAGCUUGAGCUCGUCUUUCAAUGGCUUGAGCUUCUUCUUUUUUUUUUGGACCCAACAAAGAGCUCUCCACAUCUUCUCUUUCAGAGACCGGAAAACUUUCAAUCGAAAGAACCCAUUACUUCUUCUCGGCCGAAAGUUGCAAGAAGGCGCUGCAAUUUUGAACCCACCUCUUUUCCUAGCAGCCAUAGUGGCCAGAAUUUCAGAGGGGGUGGGGUUUUCCAGCCAGUUGGGGGUGAAGCUCACUAAACUGCUUGCUUUUCUGACAUUCUCUAAGUGGAAGCAGUGCAUCUUGCCUUGCCUUGUUGUUUAGAGAGAGAUAGCGAGGGGGCGAUUAGAGAGAGAGAGGCAAGUAGAGAGAGAGAGGCGGGUAGAGAGAGAAAGGGAGUUGGGAGAAGCUCGAGUUUGAUUCAAAGUGGAUCCCCUUUAUCACCAUGCAAGAGUUUGAUUCAAAGUGGAUCCCCUUUAUCACCAUGCAAGAUUAUUACGGAAACUUGAUCUUCAUAUUGAGCUUCAUCCCCUCCUUAGUAAAGUGUACCUCCGCUUUCUUUUUUGGACAUUCAUAUGUACGAUGUUUUAUUUCAUUGCAUCGGUAACAAGUGAUCUUUGAAA